RNAcentral lists this transfer RNA (67 nucleotides) under Marmota monax (woodchuck). RNAcentral describes it as "tRNA.Ala". Lineage: Eukaryota; Metazoa; Chordata; Mammalia; Rodentia; Sciuridae. The record is from RNAcentral.
GGUUGUGGCUCAGUGGCAGAGUGCUUGCCUAGCAUACAUGAGGCACUGGGUUCGAUCCCUGGUACCA